GUCUACGGCCAUGACCACUGAAUAAGACUGAUCCGGUCUGAUCUCAGAAGCUAAGCAGGGUCGAGCCUGGUUAGUACUUGGAUGCAAGACCAUCUAUGAAGACUAGGAGCUGUAGGUA
This 118-nucleotide ribosomal RNA is filed under the name Pteropus alecto (black flying fox). Lineage: Eukaryota; Metazoa; Chordata; Mammalia; Chiroptera; Pteropodidae. The record is from RNAcentral.